RNAcentral lists this ribosomal RNA (253 nucleotides) under uncultured bacterium. RNAcentral describes it as "partial 16S ribosomal RNA". It matches the Rfam family "Bacterial small subunit ribosomal RNA", at positions 524 to 776 of the family's 1533-position model. The record is from RNAcentral.
UACGAAGGGGGCUAGCGUUGCUCGGAAUCACUGGGCGUAAAGCGCACGUAGGCGGCUUUUUAAGUCAGGGGUGAAAUCCUGGAGCUCAACUCCAGAACUGCCUUUGAUACUGAGAAGCUUGAGUCCGGGAGAGGUGAGUGGAACUGCGAGUGUAGAGGUGAAAUUCGUAGAUAUUCGCAAGAACACCAGUGGCGAAGGCGGCUCUCUGGGACGGUACUGACGCUGAGACGCGAAAGCGUGGGGAGCGAACAGG